GAUGAACGCUGGCGGCGUGCCUAAUACAUGCAAGUCGAGCGAACAGACGAGGAGCUUGCUCCUCUGACGUUAGCGGCGGACGGGUGAGUAACACGUGGAUAACCUACCUAUAAGACUGGGAUAACUUCGGGAAACCGGAGCUAAUACCGGAUAAUAUAUUGAACCGCAUGGUUCAAUAGUGAAAGACGGUUUUGCUGCCACUUAUAGAUGGAUCCGCGCCGCAUUAGCUAGUUGGUAAGGUAACGGCUUACCAAGGCAACGAUGCGUAGCCGACCUGAGAGGGUGAUCGGCCACACUGGAACUGGGCCACGGUCCAGACUCCUACGGGAGGCAGCAGUAGGGAAUCUUCCGCAAUGGACGAAAGCCUGACGGAGCAACGCCGCGUGAGUGAUGAAGGUCUUCGGAUCGUAAAACUCUGUUAUUAGGGAAGAACAAAUGUGUAAGUAACUAUGCACGUCUUGACGGUACCUAAUCAGAAAGCCACGGCUAACUACGUG
RNAcentral lists this ribosomal RNA (497 nucleotides) under uncultured bacterium. RNAcentral describes it as "partial 16S ribosomal RNA". It matches the Rfam family "Bacterial small subunit ribosomal RNA", at positions 28 to 507 of the family's 1533-position model. The record is from RNAcentral.